This is a non-coding RNA of Pelobates cultripes (western spadefoot toad), 858 nucleotides long. The record is from the annotation of a GenBank genome assembly. Lineage: Eukaryota; Metazoa; Chordata; Amphibia; Anura; Pelobatidae.
CUCCGAUCGCAUGGGAACGGUGUUUUUACGCCGUGCCAGUCUCGCCGCAGCUUGCCCGCCUCCAUAACUGAGACGAUCAAUUACCAAUCAACAUCUCCUCCUCAUAGUGAAGCAUUAAAGCAAUGCAUCUCUAUGGGGAACGCUCAGUGCCGCCACUUCGCUGAAUGUAGGUGCUGCACAUAUGGUUUGAGUGACUGCCACUAGAGGUGUUAUUAGGCAGCAAGGUAAACACUGCCUUUUCUCUGAAAAUCCUAUGUGGGCAGAUUAUAGACAUCAGAGUCACUAAUUUAAGCUGUAGUGUUUCUGGUGACUAAGGUCCCUUUAAGAAUUGUAUUUUUGACGUUGGAAAAAAAACAAACUGGCUCCUAAUUUUUUUAGCUGGCUCCUUGAAUGAAAGCAAAUUUGUCAAGCCCUGCUCUAGACCACUGAGAUAGGUGCUGGCGCUGUGGAAAAGAGAGGGAUACGAUAAUACACGUGUGGUGGGAGUUCGCAUUACUCGUUUUAUAAAAAAGUACAUGCAGCCCUGAUAAGAGUAACAGAAGAAGUGGUUGGUUAUGAACCCUUAACAAUGCGUAUCCCGUACACCCAGGCCCCGAUCUCCAAGUGUAAAUGAUCCACAGUAGCAAGAUCUCUGGUACCUGUCCUUUUGAGGCAGCGUGCAGUCCCAACGUUCAAGAUCUGGGUAGAGGAAAUUAGGUCCAUGGAGGAACAAACUGCGGCAUUAGAGUACAGGACUGAAAUGUUUUUUAGAAGUCUGGAUACCCUGGUUAUCAGACGUAUCUUCAUUGACAGAUGAGAAUAUGCAGAAGCCUUAAACACUCCUGCGGCGCCUCCACAUUAGGAUGGGAGCUUCGAAUA